GACGAACGCUGGCGGCGUGCUUAACACAUGCAAGUCGAACGGAAAGGCCUGCUUUCCCUUGUGGAUUGCGGGUACUCGAGUGGCGAACGGGUGAGUAACACGUGAGUGAUCUGCCCCCAACUUGGGUAUAAGCCUGGGAAACUGGGUCUAAUUCCCGAUAGGACUGCAGGGUGGUGCCUGUGGUGGAAAACGAUUUUCUAGUGGUUGGGGAUGAGCUCGCGGCCUAUCAGCUUGUUGGUGGGGUAAUGGCCUACCAAGGCGGCGACGGGUAGCCGGCCUGAGAGGGUGGACGGGCACAUUGAGACUGAGAUACGGCCCAGACUCCUACGGGAGGCAGCAGUGGGGAAUAUUGCACAAUGGGCGGAAGCCUGAUGCAGCGACGCCGCGUGGGGGAUGACGGCCUUCGGGUUGUAAACUCCUUUCGACCGCGAGGAAGCCACCUGGUUGGAAGGGUGGUGACGGUAGUGGUAGAAGAAGCACCGGCUAACUACGUG
RNAcentral lists this ribosomal RNA (494 nucleotides) under uncultured bacterium. RNAcentral's name for it is "partial 16S ribosomal RNA". It matches the Rfam family "Bacterial small subunit ribosomal RNA", at positions 28 to 507 of the family's 1533-position model. The record is from RNAcentral.